Molecule: long non-coding RNA, 304 nt
Organism: Synchiropus splendidus (mandarinfish)
Lineage: Eukaryota; Metazoa; Chordata; Actinopteri; Syngnathiformes; Callionymidae
Exons: 3
Source: RefSeq, a predicted model, not a curated record
ACAGAGAUAACAAGUCCUUGUUCCUCUGGCUGCGUUGCUGCAAUCGCUGCUGCAUGUAGCAUCGUCAUCAUUGCAGCUGCUGUGGGAGGAUUCUACCUCUACAAGAGAAGUAAAUAUGGAAAGGAACGUUUGAAAUAGACCAUUGAAGAAAUCUCCCAUUCCGAAGGAAUUCAGACCCAGGAGCCGGACUACAAUCAGCUGACCUUCUAUGAGAACACAACAUCACCUGAAAAUGGAACCGUCCAACCUAAAUUCAGCCACUGACUUGGCCACACCCACCUCUUAUCAUGGGCCAGCCACGUGG